GAUAUAUCAAAACAUGGUCAUGGAAGAGAUGAUUACCUAAUGGAAAAUAGGAGUGAAAUGGAAUCUGAUAUGUGAUGAAGCUUUUCCUUCUUGCCACUAAAUUCCAAUUCUCAUUUAUGGUUAGGGUUUCAGCUUCUUAAAUAGGGUGGAUUAGGUGUUCUCAUGGGCUUUUUAAUAAGUGAUUUAUCCAUAACAAUAAAAGUGUGAAGUGAGGUGUAAAAUGUUGUUAUUUUGGGUCAAAC
This 242-nucleotide long non-coding RNA is filed under the name Lathyrus oleraceus (garden pea). Its description in RNAcentral is "Pisum sativum (pea) long non-coding RNA (PSAT_LNC038608)". The record is from RNAcentral. Lineage: Eukaryota; Viridiplantae; Streptophyta; Magnoliopsida; Fabales; Fabaceae.